RNAcentral lists this ribosomal RNA (551 nucleotides) under uncultured kinetoplastid. RNAcentral's name for it is "bacterial SSU rRNA". It matches the Rfam family "Eukaryotic small subunit ribosomal RNA", at positions 615 to 1026 of the family's 1831-position model. The record is from RNAcentral. Lineage: Eukaryota; Euglenozoa; Kinetoplastea.
GCUGUUAAGGGUUCGUAGUUGAAUUGUGGAAUGAGGAACCGGGGCUUCACCCUUUUCCCCGGUCUAGGGACACCCCGACCUCAUUUCGUGAACGUCAGAAACAGAUAUCACGGGAGCGUUUGCCAGCAGACACGCGAGCAAUGCACGCAGCUGGACGUCCGUGUUUUUUACUGUGACUAAGAAGUGCGACCAAAGCAGUCCUAACGACAUGAAUUAGAAAGCAUGGGAUAACAAAGGGCGGCCUAUGAGAUACCGUUUAGGCUUUUGUUGGUUUUAAAAUCUCGUGGGAGAUUACGGGCUACAGGACCGUCUUUGGUGGGAUCUCUGGUCUCCCGAGGCUCCUCUGCCGGACGGGGCACUCGACCGUGUAGGGGCCUGUACUUUUUGCUCAGGAAUGAAGGAGGGUUGCUCGGGGGGAACGUACUUGGGCGUGAGAGGUGAAAUUCUUAGACCGCCCAAAGACGAACUACAGCGAGGCAUUCUCCAAGGAUACCUUCCUCAAUCAAGAACCAAAGUGUGGAGAUCGAAGAUGUUAGAGACCAUUGUAGUCC